RNAcentral lists this ribosomal RNA (735 nucleotides) under Lactococcus lactis. RNAcentral's name for it is "bacterial SSU rRNA". It matches the Rfam family "Bacterial small subunit ribosomal RNA", at positions 131 to 854 of the family's 1533-position model. Lineage: Bacteria; Bacillati; Bacillota; Bacilli; Lactobacillales; Streptococcaceae. The record is from RNAcentral.
UUUGAGCGGGGGACAACAUUUGGAAACGAAUGCUAAUACCGCAUAACAACUUUAAACACAAGUUUUAAGUUUGAAAGAUGCAAUUGCAUCACUCAAAGAUGAUCCCGCGUUGUAUUAGCUAGUUGGUGAGGUAAAGGCUCACCAAGGCGAUGAUACAUAGCCGACCUGAGAGGGUGAUCGGCCACAUUGGGACUGAGACACGGCCCAAACUCCUACGGGAGGCAGCAGUAGGGAAUCUUCGGCAAUGGACGAAAGUCUGACCGAGCAACGCCGCGUGAGUGAAGAAGGUUUUCGGAUCGUAAAACUCUGUUGGUAGAGAAGAACGUUGGUGAGAGUGGAAAGCUCAUCAAGUGACGGUAACUACCCAGAAAGGGACGGCUAACUACGUGCCAGCAGCCGCGGUAAUACGUAGGUCCCGAGCGUUGUCCGGAUUUAUUGGGCGUAAAGCGAGCGCAGGUGGUUUAUUAAGUCUGGUGUAAAAGGCAGUGGCUCAACCAUUGUAUGCAUUGGAAACUGGUAGACUUGAGUGCAGGAGAGGAGAGUGGAAUUCCAUGUGUAGCGGUGAAAUGCGUAGAUAUAUGGAGGAACACCGGUGGCGAAAGCGGCUCUCUGGCCUGUAACUGACACUGAGGCUCGAAAGCGUGGGGAGCAAACAGGAUUAGAUACCCUGGUAGUCCACGCCGUAAACGAUGAGUGCUAGAUGUAGGGAGCUAUAAGUUCUCUGUAUCGCAGCUA